GAAAUGCGGUAAGUAAUGUGAAUUGCAGAAUUCAGUGAAUCAUCGAAUCUUUGAACGCACCUUGCGCUCCUUGGUAUUCCUUGGAGCAUGCCUGUUUGAGUAUCAUGAAAUCUUCAAAGUAAAUCUUUUGUUAACUCAAUUGGUUUCUACUUUGGUAUUGGAGGUCUUUGCAGCUUCACACCUGCUCCUCUUUGUUCAUUAGCUGGAUCUCAGUGUUAUGCUUGGUUCCACUCGGCGUAUAAGUUAUCUAUCGCUGAGGACACUGUAAAAGGUGGCCAAGGUAAAUGCAGAUGAACCGCUUCUAAUAGUCCAUUGACUUGGACAAUACUUUUAUGAUCUGAUCUCAAAUCAGGUAGGACUACCCGCUGAACUUAAGC
Molecule: unclassified non-coding RNA, 377 nt
Filed under: plant metagenome
Description: partial contains 5.8S ribosomal RNA, internal transcribed spacer 2, and large subunit ribosomal RNA
Rfam family: 5.8S ribosomal RNA (bases 1-105)
Source: RNAcentral